AGCACCACGACACAGACGUUUAUAAAAAAAAGUAUGCUGCAUUUUAUUAAACAGUCGCACAGUGGAGACGCUACAAUAUUUCACAGGCAACACUUUGCAGAGUCAUCUCAGGUGUAGCACUGCACACUUAAUACCACAAUUUAUAGGGAAUGCGAUGUACAAAAAGACAGUAAUGAAGAGACACGUAGCGGAGUACAGAGAAGAGAGGCAGAACUAACCCGGAGGCUCUGGAGAUAGCUUGAAUGAUAGACGUUAGCUUGAAUGUAUAUACAACUUCGAGGCAAUGUAUGACAUCAUUAUAAUACAGAGAGAACGCAGACUGUUGGAGGAACCCUUCACACCAUAUCACUACUAACUUUGGUUUGGUUACCUCUGCAGGAGGUAACCAAACUCAAAACCACCCUUUGACACCACAAUGACACCUUAAUUGGAAAGAGGUACCCAUGUAUAAACUGACUCAUAAGUUGUACCUACGCCAGGAUGGUGUGUGUUAGAGACAUUAAAGAAUUUGGUAAAAAUUGAUAUUUACCCACUAUUCACACACACAAACACACGCACGCAGCUCACACACCCCGAACAAACGCACACAUGCAGGCAUGCCUGCACACAGUGUUAAUACCACAGAGGACUUUCUCUAAUCAUGCACAGGAAAUGGAUACUGGUUGAUGGGGCUGCUGUAUUUUCCUGCAAGCCCAGUUACCUGUCCAGGAGUGAUCUAAAGGUGUGUCAGUGUCAGGUUAGUCACUUUGGAAAGGCUGCAUUAGUUCAGGUGAUUCUGGAGAGCUGUUAGUGUGUCACAGGUGAGUGUGUUAGUCCAGGUGAUUCUGGAGAGCUGUUAGUGUGUCACAGGUGAGUGUGUUAGCCCAGGUGAUUCUGGAGAGCUGUUAGUGUGUCACAGGUGAGUGUGUUAGUCCAGGUGAUUCUGGAGAGCUGUUAGUGUGUCACAGGUGAGUGUGUUAGCCCAGGUGAUUCUGGAGAGCUGUUAGUGUGUCGCAGGUUAGUGUGUCACAGGUGAGUGUGUUAGUCCAGGUGAUUCUGGAGAGCUGUUAGUGUGUCACAGGUGAGUGUGUUAGUCCAGGUGAUUCUGGAGAGCUGUUAGUGUGUCGCAGGUGAGUGUGUUAGUCCAGGUGAUUCUGGAGAGCUGUUAGUGUGUCACAGGUGAGUGUGUUAGUCCAGGUGAUUCUGGAGAGCUGUUAGUGUGUCACAGGUGAGUGUGUUAGCCCAGGUGAUUCUGGAGAGCUGUUAGUGUGUCACAGGUGAGUGUGUUAGUCCAGGUGAUUCUGGAGAGCUGUUAGUGUGUCACAAGUGAGUGUGUUAGCCCAGGUGAUUCUGGAGAGCUGUUAGUGUGUCACAGGUGAGUGUGUUAGUCCAGGUGAUUCUGGAGAGCCGUUAGUGUGUCACAGGUGAGUGUGUUAGCCCAGGUGAUUCCGAGGAGCUGUAAGCAGUGUGUCACAGGUGAGUGUGUCAUGGGUUAGUGUGUUAGUCCAAGUGAUUCCGGGGAGCUGUAAGCAGUGUGUCACAGGUGAGUGUGUUGUGGGUUAGUGUGUUAGCCCAGGUGAUUCCGGGGAGCUGUAAGCAGUGUGUCACAGGUGAGUGUGUCGCAGGUUAAUGUGUUAGUAUAGGUGUCGCGGGCAGCUCUAGCAGGGUUAGACACAGCUGCGAAAGGCAUAGUCUGACGGUGGCAGCGACGGCAACAUCUUUCUGAGACCAGACGGCCUAUAGCCGCUCCUACUGAUGAGAAACGACUGGGAGGAUUUCUGAAAACUCAUAAUAGCAAGACGUAUGAGAUGCAUGAGAAGCCAUUCAAGACAGAAGAAAAAUUAAUUUCCAUUGUAAGAGAUUCUGCCAUUAGCUGGAAAAGUUUAGUUAGGGGUUAGUGAUUUAGAGGUGGACUCUGAAGGAGAAUCGAAGGAGGGAGCAAGAACUUGAUCGUCUACAGCCUGUCAAUCAAUCAUUUCAUGACAGAUGACUGGAAAAAGUUCACAGAGAGGCUGAUAUUGGUUUUGCUCCAAUAUUUGUUUUCUGAAAUUGAAUGUCAGAGUUUUUUUGAAACCUCAGCGCCUCUAUAACCCGCCAGGCCAGCUUCACUGUGACCCCAGUCAUUUUUUUUAAAAGGGGUGUGCCGUGCUCCCCAAAAACCUUCAAUGUGAUCCCCCAGAAUCCCCCCCCCCAUGCUCAGACAUUAGUUCAUCCGAUUUUCCCUUAAGAUUAGAAGUGAGGAGACUGCAGCCCCAUUUCAUGUGAGUCUGCUUCUGUACACAGCUCAGUUAUCUAGUUGUUGAGGUCGAUAGAGCUCCAUACAAUCUCUGUAUGGAGAAGAGUCUCUUUAAUUAUCAGAGAUGAAGGAAUAAUGUUUCCUAGCAUCUAUAAAAGGUUCAUUGUGUAUUUUAGAUAUUUGUUUUGGCCCAGGUCUGAUCACAAGGCUAACGUGCUAAUAAAGACUGAAAGACAGUGGGGAAUGAGAGAUUUCCCCCAAAGCCGGGCGUUGCCUUCUCCUCCCUUCAGGUAGAGGGCGCCAUCCUCGGGCCACAUGACUGGGCAGCAGUGGCGGUGUCCCUCAUGGUCAGUACCAGGCAGGUGAGUCAGUAGUUAGUAAGUGACUUGUGUAAAGGAGGGGUCACCUGGUGUCCCCGCAAAAUUUCCAUGCAGCUUUCUGAACCUGCUACCUAUUUCUCCCCCCAUUUAACUGCUUCAA
Long non-coding RNA from Anguilla anguilla (European eel), 2695 nucleotides. RefSeq lists it as uncharacterized. The record is from RefSeq and is a predicted model, not a curated record. Lineage: Eukaryota; Metazoa; Chordata; Actinopteri; Anguilliformes; Anguillidae. The transcript is spliced from 4 exons.